UNGGCGUAAANGGAGCGUAGGNGNNNUGUAAGUCAGAUGUGAAAUCCCGGGGNUCAACCCCNGAACUGCAUCCGNUACUGCCGUGCUUGAGGGUUGGAGAGGUAGCUGGAAUUAUCGGUGUAGCAGUGAAAUGCGUGGAUAUCGAUAGGAACACUCGUGGCGAAGGCGAGCUACUGGACAACAUNUGACGCUGAGGCUCGANGGCUAGGGGAGCAAAAGGGAUUAGAUACCCCUGUAGUCCUAGCAGUAAACGGUGUGCGCUUGGUGUGAGGGGAUUCGACCCCCCUUGUGCCGGAGCUAACGCGUUAAGCGCACCGCCUGGGAAGUACGGCCGCAAGGCUAAAACUCAAAGAAAUUGACGGGGACCCGCACAAGCGGUGGAGUAUGUGGCUUAAUUCGAUGCAACGCGAAGAACCUUACCAAGGCUUGACAUGGAUUUCUAAGCACGUGAAAGCGUGUGACCCUUUGGGGGACUUCCACAGGUGCUGCAUGGCCGUCGUCAGCUCGUGUCGUGAGAUGUUGGGUUAAGUCCCGCAACGAGCGCAACCCCUGUGAUUAGUUGCCAGCACGUAAUGGUGGGGACUCUAGUCAGACUGCCCAGAUCAACUGGGAGGAAGGUGGGGACGACGUCAGGUCAGUAUGGCCCUUACGCCUUGGGCUGCACACGUACUACAAUGCCCAGCACAAUGAGAACCGAGACCGCGAGGUGGAGGAAAUCUGUAAAACUGGGCCCAGUUCGGAUUGAAGGCUGCAACUCGCCUCCAUGAAGCCGGAAUCGCUAGUAAUGCUGCAUCAGCUACGGCAGCGUGAAUACGUUCCCGGGUCUUGUACACACCGCCCGUCACAUCAUGGAAGCCGGUAGCACCCGAAGUAUCGUACGAUCCUAAGGUGAAGCUGGUAACUGGGAUGAAGUCGUAACAAGGUAACCAAGGGNGAA
Molecule: ribosomal RNA, 937 nt
Filed under: uncultured bacterium
Lineage: Bacteria
Description: bacterial SSU rRNA
Rfam family: Bacterial small subunit ribosomal RNA
Source: RNAcentral